Molecule: transfer RNA, 87 nt
Filed under: Deltaproteobacteria bacterium
Lineage: Bacteria; Pseudomonadati; Myxococcota; Myxococcia
Description: tRNA-Leu
Rfam family: tRNA
About the family: Transfer RNA (tRNA) molecules are approximately 80 nucleotides in length.
Source: RNAcentral
GCCGGGAUGGUGGAAUGGGUAGACACACGGGACUUAAAAUCCCGCGGGCCUCGGCCUGUGCCGGUUCAAGUCCGGCUCCCGGCACCA